Molecule: ribosomal RNA, 492 nt
Filed under: uncultured bacterium
Lineage: Bacteria
Description: partial 16S ribosomal RNA
Rfam family: Bacterial small subunit ribosomal RNA
Source: RNAcentral
AGUGAACGCUGGCGGUAGGCCUAACACAUGCAAGUCGAACGGCAGCACAGUAAGAGCUUGCUCUUACGGGUGGCGAGUGGCGGACGGGUGAGGAAUACAUCGGAAUCUACUUUUUCGUGGGGGAUAACGUAGGGAAACUUACGCUAAUACCGCAUACGACCUACGGGUGAAAGCAGGGGAUCUUCGGACCUUGCGCGAUUGAAUGAGCCGAUGUCGGAUUAGCUAGUUGGCGGGGUAAAGGCCCACCAAGGCGACGAUCCGUAGCUGGUCUGAGAGGAUGAUCAGCCACACUGGAACUGAGACACGGUACAGACUCCUACGGGAGGCAGCAGUGGGGAAUAUUGGACAAUGGGCGAAAGCCUGAUCCAGCCAUACCGCGUGGGUGAAGAAGGACUUCGGGUUGUAAAGCCCUUUUGUUGGGAAAGAAAAGCAGCAGGUUAAUACCCCGCUGUUCUGACGGUACCCAAAGAAUAAGCACCGGCUAACUUCGUG